This 238-nucleotide ribosomal RNA is filed under the name Escherichia coli. RNAcentral's name for it is "partial 23S ribosomal RNA". It matches the Rfam family "Bacterial large subunit ribosomal RNA", at positions 2693 to 2925 of the family's 2925-position model. The record is from RNAcentral. Lineage: Bacteria; Pseudomonadati; Pseudomonadota; Gammaproteobacteria; Enterobacterales; Enterobacteriaceae.
CGGAGUGGACGCAUCACUGGUGUUCGGGUUGUCAUGCCAAUGGCACUGCCCGGUAGCUAAAUGCGGAAGAGAUAAGUGCUGAAAGCAUCUAAGCACGAAACUUGCCCCGAGAUGAGUUCUCCCUGACUCCUUGAGAGUCCUGAAGGAACGUUGAAGACGACGACGUUGAUAGGCCGGGUGUGUAUGCGCAGCGAUGCGUUGAGCUAACCGGUACUAAUGAACCGUGAGGCUUAACCUU